GGAGUCUCAUUUUGUCAUCCAAGCUGGAGUGCAGAGGCGUGAUCUAGGCUCACUGCAACCUCUCGGAUUCAAGGGAUUUUCCUGUCUCAGCCUCUCAGAAGAGAACAUCUUCAUAGGAGAGGAGCUCUAGGAACUGAGAAUGCAGGAAAUUGGAAGAAAUAUACAUUAAUAGCCAAGAAUUUAGACAGGACUGGGGAGCCAGGAACAAACAUUUGAGAUGUUGGGCUUUUAAUGGAGUUGCCACGGAUGACAGCAUCAUGAGAAAUGAGGUUUAAAAAUGGAGGAUUGUUCGAGGAGGGAGGAGGGCUGAUCUGAAAGCCACAAGGAGGACAAAUGGAACACCUACCCCCACUACAGGCUGGAAGCUAUCUCCUCUGCAGAACUCUGUGCUAAUGAUAGAAUUUGCAUACUAAUGAUAAUUGCAACCAAGAAAGCUGUAUUCUCUUUCUACUCGAGAUAGAGAGUCUCACUAUGCUGGCCAGACUCGUCUCAAACUUCUGGGCUCAAGCAAUCCUCCCACCUGCCUCAAUCUCCCAAAAUGCUGGAAUUACAGGCAUAAGCCAUCACACCCAGCCAGUAAUUGACUCUGAAAGUAACACACAAAGAUUGGAAAGUGAUCUAAGUUCUGAAUUCAAAUAUCAACACAUGCAUUUUGCUAUUUCUUUGUUCUUUAAUUGCAGCAAGAACAAAUAACAUGAGAUCUAUCUUCUUAUCAAAUUUGUAAGUAUAUAGUAGAGUAAUGUUACCUACAGGCACAAUGUUGUACAGCAUUUGUUCUACAUAAUGUUCUACAGGUAUCUGUAGAACUUAUUCUUCUUACCUAACUGAAACUAUGCCUGUUAAAUGGCAAAUCCCAAUUUUCCUCUCACCCAGCCUCCAGCAACCACUAUCCUACUUUCUGUUUCUGCUAGUUUUACUAUAUUGAACUCCAUAUAUAAGUGGAAUCACAUAGUAUUUGUCCUUCUGCAACUAGCUUAUUUUACUUAGCAUAAUGUCCUCAAGGUUCAUUCACGCUUUCUUAUAUAGCAGGAUUUGUUUAUUAUGGUUGGAUAAUAUUCCAUUAUAUGUUUAUAAGACAUUGUCUUUACACAUUCAUCUCUCAAUGAAUAUUUUGGUCAUUUCCACAUUAUAGCUAUUGUGAAUAAUCAUACAAAGGAAUUGAACAGGGAGCCCAGAAGGAAACUCAUGCUUAUAUGGUCAACUGGUGUUUGGCAAGGGUCCAAGAAUACUCACUGGGAAAAAGAGAGUCUCUUUAAUUAAUGAUGUUGGGAAAACUGAAUAUCCAUAGCAAAAAAAUAAAAUUGAACACUCCUCUCACACAAUAUAUAAAAAUCAACUCCAAGUAAAAAAAACUUCAUGACAUUGUCUCAGCAAUUAUUUCAUGGGUAUGACACCAAAAGCACAAACAACAAAAGGAAAAAUAGACAAGUGUGAUUACAUAAAACUAAAAAGUUUUGCAAAGCAA
Molecule: long non-coding RNA, 1465 nt
Organism: Homo sapiens (human)
Lineage: Eukaryota; Metazoa; Chordata; Mammalia; Primates; Hominidae
Source: Ensembl